CCUACGGGUGGCAGCAGUGGGGAAUAUUGCACAAUGGGGGAAACCCUGAUGCAGCAACGCCGCGUGAGUGAUGACGGCCUUCGGGUUGUAAAGCUCUGUCUUCAGGGACGAUAAUGACGGUACCUAAGGAGGAAGCCACUGCCAACUACGUGCCAGCAGCCGCCGGAAUACUGAGGUGGCGAGCGUUGUCCGGAUUUACUGGGCGUAAAGGGAGCGUAGGCGGACUUUUAAGUGAGAUGUGAAAUACUCGGGCUUAACGUGAGAUCUGCAUUUCAUACUGGAAGUCUAGAGUGCAGGAGAGGAGAAUGGAAUUCCAAGUGUAGCGGUGAAAUGCGUAGAGAUGUGGAAGAACACCAGUGGCGAAGGCGAUUCUCUGGAAUGUAACUGACGCUGAGGCUCGAAAGCGUGGGGAGCAAACAGGAUUAGAUACCCUAGUAGUC
This 440-nucleotide ribosomal RNA is filed under the name uncultured bacterium. Its description in RNAcentral is "partial 16S ribosomal RNA". It matches the Rfam family "Bacterial small subunit ribosomal RNA", at positions 338 to 795 of the family's 1533-position model. The record is from RNAcentral.